CUUUUGAUAUCUGCAAAUAUCGUAUCGUUGUCCAAUGAAUCGAUAUAAUAUCGUAUCGUGAUGAAUCCAGAGAUUUACACCCCCAAAAAACCCUAAAUGAAUGUUGUAUUUUCCUGCUGCAUCAGACGAGCAGUUGUAUUACAGCUUCCAGGGAAAACCUUGCUUGGUGGUGUGUAACCAGGAGCAAGUCUGUAAUGCCCUAAAGGAGUGCCAUGACAAUCUUGGCAGUGGGGGUCAUCCAGGGAGAUGCCGAACAACAGAAAAAGUAUUGGCGUCCUACCAUUGGAAAACACUGAGGGAGGAUGUAAAAAAAUGGGUGAGUGUUAUUAGUACUGAAGGAAAUGUUAAUUAAUUUGAUGGAACGGUUCCAGAUUGAUAGGUAAGACAACUUUAAAUGUAACUUCCUACACAACAUUAGUUAUACAUUAGUUAACCUUUUUUUUUCUGUCACUGUCACUCGAAAGCCACGGACAGAGGUUUGCAUACUGGACAAAUGAGGCCACAGCAUUGCUCCAAGGAUCACUGCAGCCGAUCUACAGGAUCCCGAAGACCAGAAAAAGGGAUCAUGAGGUGAGCAUGAUGUUGAUGGCAGAGGACACCCAGUGUCAUGCUCCUUUUUGUUAUAGACUCAUUAAUGCAAUUCAGGUUUCUUAUUCUUACAUGUCUAUAUUGAUACAUAAAUAAUUUUCCCUCAAAGGUUCAGUUUGAAAAGGCCGACAGGUGCUUCAUAUUGGAGAUGCCAACAUCUGUGCUUGAUGAAAUCCUCAAAGAGGUGGUGCUCCAGGAAGGAGAUAAUGUCUACCUGACAUUGGCUCUGGUGUUGCUACAUGGAGUAGGUUUUCUGCAACGUACAAAAAAGCUUUCUGCACCAUGUACACCAUUGACACCUGCCUUGGAUGUGGACGACUAUAUAAAAACUGCACACCA
This is a long non-coding RNA of Gadus macrocephalus (Pacific cod), 927 nucleotides long. RefSeq lists it as uncharacterized. Lineage: Eukaryota; Metazoa; Chordata; Actinopteri; Gadiformes; Gadidae. The record is from RefSeq and is a predicted model, not a curated record. The transcript has 3 exons.